AUGGGCAGAGCGUCUUUUGGGGGACACCGAGGUGACGGAGCGGAAAAGCCGGAGAAGAGGCGUGGUUCCCGCUGCCCAGAAGCGGAUGCGAGGCCCUCUGAACCCGUAGUUGACGGCGGUGCCCUCGUUCCCGUCCCGCUCACCACCUCCCCAGUCCCCGCUCUUCCCACGGCAGGUGGCAAAGGCAGCGCCGAUGAGCCCGGCUCAGGGCCCCAUGGCAGCGGCAGAAAUGCUUACGGACCCUGAACAGGUGAGUGGAGGGUCACCCUGCUACUCAGGCCCCCAGGGAAGGGUAGUGUCCCACGACCUGUGUCCCUUCUCCUGCGUCUGUAGACCUCGUGCUUUCCCCAGGCCUGGGGUCCUGUAUUUAGUCUCAGGUAUUCUGGAACAGUUCCGUUUCUGACACCUGAUGGGGUGAGACGAGGCAGGGCCUCCUGACCACCGGACGCAGAAGGUUCACACAGCUGCAGGUGAGACCUGGCGGGCAAGUUCAGGGAACUGCAGGUCUCUGUUACAUCUGGUGGAAAUGGGAGCUGGGGGAGCAGGACACAGGUCUCAGAUCUCAGAGAGGUCCUGGUCCCCCAAGCUCAGGUUGGUGGGUGGUGGGUGAGUUUGAAGCAGAGGAGGAAGGUGCCAUGACCCAGGUUUGGACGGGCUUCCUCUGGCUGCAGGUUGGCAGAAGGCGGGGAGGGGGUGGGGGAGAGUGGGGGGAGGUGGAGGCAGGAAUACCUGGGGGCAGUUUCCUGCAAUAAUCCAGGAGAGUGUUGGUGACACAACUUCUACAGUGGUAGCUGUGGAGGGAGAGCAGUGCUUGGCUUCUGGAUGUGUUGUGAACUAGAGCUGCCUGUGUUGCUUGUGGUGGAGAGAGAGGGACUCAAGGACGUGGGCCAAAAGGAGGAAUCAGGGCCAAGUCCAGGAAUCUGGCUGUGCUUGGUUUUGUUUUUUUUUAAUUUUAAUUUUUUUCUUUUGUCUUUUUAGGGCUGCUUCCCUUGGCAUAUGGAGGUUCCCAGGCUAUGGGUCUAAUCAGAGCUACAGCUGCAGGCCUAUGCCAGAGCCAUAGCAAUGUCAGAUCCAAACUGAGUCUGUGACCUACACCACAGCUCAUGGCAAUGCCAGAUCCUUAACCCACUGAGUAAGGCCGGCGAUCAAACCCACAACCUCAUGGUUCCUAGUUGGAUUCGUUUCUGCUGCACCACGAAGGGAACUCUUUUUUUUUUUAAUGAUUUUUAUUUUUUCCAUGAUAGCU
Molecule: long non-coding RNA, 1246 nt
Filed under: Sus scrofa (pig)
Lineage: Eukaryota; Metazoa; Chordata; Mammalia; Artiodactyla; Suidae
Description: lncRNA (ENSSSCG00055000084.1)
Source: RNAcentral